UCCUACGGGAGGCAGCAGUAGGGAAUCUUCCGCAAUGGACGAAAGUCUGACGGAGCAACGCCGCGUGAGUGAUGAAGGCUUUCGGGUCGUAAAACUCUGUUGUUAGGGAAGAACAAGUGCUAGUUGAAUAAGCUGGCACCUUGACGGUACCUAACCAGAAAGCCACGGCUAACUACGUGCCAGCAGCCGCGGUAAUACGUAGGUGGCAAGCGUUAUCCGGAAUUAUUGGGCGUAAAGCGCGCGCAGGUGGUUUCUUAAGUCUGAUGUGAAAGCCCACGGCUCAACCGUGGAGGGUCAUUGGAAACUGGGAGACCUGAGUGCAGAAGAGGAAAGUGGAAUUCCAUGUGUAGCGGUGAAAUGCGUAGAGAUAUGGAGGAACACCAGUGGCGAAGGCGACUUUCUGGUCUGUAACUGACACUGAGGCGCGAAAGCGUGGGGAGCAAACAGGAUUAGAUACCCUGGUAGUCCACGCCGUAAACGAUGAGUGCUAAGUGUUAGAGGGUUUCCGCCCCUUAGUGCUGAAGUUAACGCAUUAAGCACUCCGCCUGGGGAGUACGGCCGCAAGGCUGAAACUCAAAGG
This 580-nucleotide ribosomal RNA is filed under the name uncultured bacterium. RNAcentral describes it as "bacterial SSU rRNA". It matches the Rfam family "Bacterial small subunit ribosomal RNA", at positions 337 to 907 of the family's 1533-position model. The record is from RNAcentral.